Molecule: ribosomal RNA, 469 nt
Filed under: uncultured bacterium
Lineage: Bacteria
Description: bacterial SSU rRNA
Rfam family: Bacterial small subunit ribosomal RNA
Source: RNAcentral
GCCCAGACUCCUACGGGAGGCAGCAGUGAGGAAUAUUGGUCAAUGGGCGUAAGCCUGAACCAGCCAAGUCGCGUGAGGGAUGAAGGAUCUAUGGUUCGUAAACCUCUUUUAUAAGGGAAUAAAGUGCGGGACGCGUCCCGCUUCGCAUGUACCUUAUGAAUAAGGAUCGGCUAACUCCGUGCCAGCAGCCGCGGUAAUACGGAGGAUCCGAGCGUUAUCCGGAUUUAUUGGGUUUAAAGGGUGCGUAGGCGGCCUUUUAAGUCAGCGGUGAAAGUCUGUGGCUCAACCAUAGAAUUGCCGUUGAAACUGGGGGGCUUGAGUAUGUUUGAGGCAGGCGGAAUGCGUGGUGUAGCGGUGAAAUGCUUAGAUAUUGCGCAGAACGCCGAUUGCGAAGGCAGCAUACCGGCGGCGAUCUGACGCUGAGGCACGAAAGCGUGGGUAUCGAACAGGAUUAGAUACCCUGGUAACA